Molecule: ribosomal RNA, 451 nt
Filed under: uncultured bacterium
Lineage: Bacteria
Description: partial 16S ribosomal RNA
Rfam family: Bacterial small subunit ribosomal RNA
Source: RNAcentral
GUGGGGAAUAUUGGACAAUGGGGGGAACCCUGAUCCAGCCAUGCCGCGUGUGUGAAGAAGGCCUUUUGGUUGUAAAGCACUUUAAGCGAGGAGGAGGCUACCGAGAUUAAUACUCUUGGAUAGUGGACGUUACUCGCAGAAUAAGCACCGGCUAACUCUGUGCCAGCAGCCGCGGUAAUACAGAGGGUGCAAGCGUUAAUCGGAUUUACUGGGCGUAAAGCGCGCGUAGGUGGCCAAUUAAGUCAAAUGUGAAAUCCCCGAGAUUAACUUGGGAAUUGCAUUCGAUACUGGUUGGCUAGAGUAUGGGAGAGGAUGGUAGAAUUCCAGGUGUAGCGGUGAAAUGCGUAGAGAUCUGGAGGAAUACCGAUGGCGAAGGCAGCCAUCUGGCCUAAUACUGACACUGAGGUGCGAAAGCAUGGGGAGCAAACAGGAUUAGAUACCCGAGUAGUCC